Molecule: small RNA, 1753 nt
Filed under: Arabidopsis thaliana (thale cress)
Lineage: Eukaryota; Viridiplantae; Streptophyta; Magnoliopsida; Brassicales; Brassicaceae
Description: putative long intergenic non-coding RNA
Source: RNAcentral
GAAGUCUUCUUUGCCUGAAAGAAGAAGAAGAAGACGGUUUAUCUUCGCUCUUUGUGAUUCGAGUUUCUCUUGGAUGUCAAUCUAUUCACUUUCUGGACGGAGGAGACACUAAUUGAGGACAAAUCUUUAUCAUUUUGCACUUGUAAUGGAGAAAGAUGGAGAAGAUUGUUUUCUUUCUACAAGUUUCUGAAGCAAGAGCCUCAUGAAUUCCUGAGGACCAUGAAACAAGAGGGAACCCUACUUUUAAAAGGAAAGAAACAUUGGCAAUCCUCAUCUCUGGAUUUCUAUCAAAUUUGUUUUUCUUCCUUUCUUCUGUGGUAUUGAGGGUUUUGUACUUCCGCUGGAUUACGAGAGGGCACUCAAGUUUUCAAAGGAGUACAUUGAUGAAGUUUGCGCCUGAAUGGGAAGAAUAAUUUCUCACAUCCAAUGUGUGAUGGCUGCUAUAGUUAUGAGACAAGUUCUUAAACAGACCGUAAAAGAAGGGAAUGCAUCAACGACCUUUUAGCAUGAAUAGUUAGUCUCCCCGGGGAUAAGGAUUGAUCAUAGUAGAGGUAUAUCGUUACUCUGAAAAUAUUUCACAACUCAUUUGUUUUUUUGCAUAAACAUAACUCCAAAUUUCAGAAGAUAUGAGAAGUUUGAUGUUCCAAUGGCCUACACUAUAGAGCAACAAUUAUUUAUGUUGGAAUAGCUUGGUCUGCAAGUUUUUACCACUACCAUUUGUUCUUGACUUCUUUCAUGGGUUUUGGUUAGUAUAUGCAGGUAACAAUUACUUUUCUUUUUGUUGAGCUCAAAUAUAUACCACUCAUCAUAAAUACUGAUUUAUGGUUUUUUCCUUCCACGUUCGGUGUUGAGGGAUUUGUUCUUCGGUUGGUUUACAAGAGGGAACUUUACUAUGAAAAAGGGAAGAAGCUUGGGAAAAAAAGAACAAGAGAAGAUCAUGAUCAGCUAAAGUUGAGUAAUAUUGAUUUUUUUAAUGAAUUAUGUUACUAUUCUGCAUCGUCUCUCCAUUUGAAUCUUGAGAUUGAUUUAAGUGUAUUAAAAUGUGUUUACAUUGGGACCUCAGAUAGAGUAUACUGGAGGGAGCUACUGAUUCAGAAGAUGCUCAUCACAAAGACUUCCUUUACGCUUGUUAGACAAUAGACACCAAUUUUCUUUUCUUUCAGUUUAAUUUUCUUAUUUGUUUGGUUGUCGGAUCAGAUUAAAAGAUACCACGAACUCUCCUAAAAAAACCGGAGUAUACUUUUCAACUGCAAUAGCAGGAGCAGAUUGAUGAUUGUGAAGCAUGAACCCGAGUAUUGGAAAUAUGUAGAGGAAGGAUAAACCUGAGAGAGACACUACUUUGCCAACCGAGAUAUGCCAGAAACUUGAAGACCAUUUGAGCUAGUGAGAUCAAUUAGAGGACCAGAUUCAUCCAAUCAUUGAUAAGUGCCAGUACCAACCUGAUAAACGAGAUACAGCAACAUCUAUGUCAGCCCACAAAGCACGAUGAGUACUUGAUCAGCCUCUUCCACAUCCAGUUUCACGAACCCGGAAAAUCUGCAUCCCAAAACAAAAUAUCGGUGCAUUCAUGCAUACAUCCAUACAUGCAUUCAUGCAUACAUCCAUACAUGCAUUCAUGCAUACAUCCAUACAUGCAUUCAUGCAUACAUCCAUACAUCCAUACAUGCAUUCAUGCAUACAUCCAUACAUGCAUACAUUUUAUACAUUCAUACAUGCAUACACAUGCAUAUAUAUUUGCUUUCUUGAUUUAUUG